UAUAUGACUUUAUCAUUACCAACUGAUAACCAACAUACUAUUUUAGAUGGCAUCGUUGGUGGAGAAUUUGAGAAUGCACAUCAACAAAUUCCAUAACGUAUGGACAAGCAACAAAUAGGUGUUGCUGGUAGUUCAACAACGCAGACUUCAAUUGGAGUUCAGGAGCCUGGUUGUUCUUCUCUUGAUUUCAACUAUGUAAGAAGAGAAGAAAUGGAAGAAAUGUUCAGUAUGUAUAGGCAGCAUGUAGUGUCAGAUAUGUCUGGCUUGUGUCAUAAUCUGAAGAUAAACAUAGUUGAUGAAUUAAGAAGACAGGAAGUAGAAACUCUUCAAAAUUAGCGACAAAUGUUUGAUCAACAUUAGAAAUGGUAUGAAGAUCAACACCAGGGUUCGGGCUUCCAAUCUGGCAUGCAUUCCUAUCAUACUGCUUAAGAAACAAAAGAACAAAAUGCUUGUUAUCAAGCAUUUCUUGAUCAACAGAAAGAAAUGUUUCAACAACAAUAGAAAUGGCAUGAAGAGCAGUAUUAAGGAAUGCUUCAACAACAACAAAAAUGGCAUGAAGAUCAGUAUUUGGGAAUGCAGUCUUAUAUGAACAACAAUUUUACUUCCCUGCAGUCUUAUAUAGACAACAAUUUUGCUUCAAUGAACUCGUAAAUUGACGACAAAAACAAAAAUGUGAUGAAUCGAUCAGAUGAUUUGGAAUCAAAACUGGAAGCUAUUGCUUGUUCAUAGUUGCAUGAUGUUCCUAGUUCUAGUAGUGGCCAGAAAGCACUAUUUCAACAAAUUCAACCGGUGGGAACAUCCAUAAAAGAAAAGAAAAAUAAGAAAAUAAAGUAUUCAGAUUAUCCGUUAGAAGACUAUCUCAUGAAAAGAUAUACAACAAUAAGAAAAUAGGUGGUGCGGAAAUCAUCCAGGUAAGAAAUUUGAUUGUAUUUUAUUAAUUGUAUUACAUACAUUGAUUUAGUAUUAAUUUAAACUAAAAUAUAUACAUAUAGUGCAUAUUGGAAGAUUGUAGGAGGUGACAGUUUAUAUGGAAGAAAUACAAUAAAAACUAUAAUUGAUGCAACCAAAGAUAUCAAUAUUACGGUUAGUGAAGU
RNAcentral lists this long non-coding RNA (1094 nucleotides) under Olea europaea subsp. europaea. The record is from RNAcentral. Lineage: Eukaryota; Viridiplantae; Streptophyta; Magnoliopsida; Lamiales; Oleaceae.